GAAACCGUUCAGGGGUAAACCUGAGAAACCCAAAAGAUCGAAUGGGGAGAUUCAUCGUCGACGAGGUUGGCUUCCGUUGGUGUGCAGAUACCCCGAACUGAUGUACGUCUGUACACAGUGCGAGGGUACACCAUCUUCGGCAAAUGUUCCGACCACGUAGUCGUGCACUUCUCCCUUAGUAGAACGUCGCGACCCGUUGCGUGUCGGUCUACGGCCCGAGUUGUUGCCUGUCGUGUCGCCUUCGCGCGUACACGGUAGACGCUCGAUCGCCUGGCCGGCUGCGUGACGGUACUCUGACGGUAUCGGGCCGCAACCAAUCCAUUCUCGAAUGUGUGUGCGUCAGGCCCGCCGCAAGCUCGGUUAUUUUUACCCGGAGGUCGGCGGAACUGGUGCUGGCUCCGGGCAUAACCAGCUGUUAGCAGGCGGUGUCCUCGGACUGGCCAAGCUUUGAAUUACCGGUCAGCGACGCUACUGCUUUGGGUACUCUCAGGACCCGUCUUGAAACACGGACCAAGGAGUCUAACAUGUGCGCGAGUCAUUGGGACAUGUAAACCUAAAGGCGCAAUGAAAGUGAAGGUCGACCUUAGCGUCGACCAAGGGAGGAUGGGCCGCGUUACGAUGCGGCCUCGCACUCCCGGGGCGUCUCGUUCUCAUUGCGAGAAGAGGCGCACCCAGAGCGUACACGUUGGGACCCGAAAGAUGGUGAACUAUGCCUGGUCAGGACGAAGUCAGGGGAAACCCUGAUGGAGGUCCGUAGCGAUUCUGACGUGCAAAUCGAUCGUCGGAACUGGGUAUAGGGGCGAAAGACUAAUCGAACCAUCUAGUAGCUGGUUCCCUCCGAAGUUUCCCUCAGGAUAGCUGGCACUCGCUCGUUCUCUUUGGUGAACGUUUGCGAGUCUCAUCUGGUAAAGCGAAUGAUUAGAGGCCUUGGGGCCGAAACGACCUCAACCUAUUCUCAAACUUUAAAUGGGUGAGAUCUCUGGCUUGCUUGGAUCUCAAUGAAGCCACGAGAUUUUUUGGAUCAGAGUGCCAAGUGGGCCAAUUUUGGUAAGCAGAACUGGCGCUGUGGGAUGAACCAAACGCAGAGUUAAGGCGCCUAAGUCGACGCUUAUGGGAUACCAUGAAAGGCGUUGGUUGCUUAAGACAGCAGGACGGUGGCCAUGGAAGUCGGAA
Molecule: ribosomal RNA, 1173 nt
Filed under: Patellapis (Zonalictus) sp. BND-2006
Lineage: Eukaryota; Metazoa; Arthropoda; Insecta; Hymenoptera; Halictidae
Description: eukaryotic LSU rRNA
Rfam family: Eukaryotic large subunit ribosomal RNA
Source: RNAcentral